GUUUACGGCCACACCGGCCUGAGUACGCCUGAUCUCGUCCGAUCUCGGAAGCUAAGCAGGGUCGGGCCUGGUUAGUACUUGAAGGAGACCGCCUGGGAAUACCAGGUGCUGUAAGCU
This 117-nucleotide ribosomal RNA is filed under the name Oncorhynchus mykiss (rainbow trout). Lineage: Eukaryota; Metazoa; Chordata; Actinopteri; Salmoniformes; Salmonidae. The record is from RNAcentral.